UGGGCGUAAGGGCUCGCAGGCGGUUUCUUAAGUCUGAUGUGAAAGCCCCCGGCUCAACCGGGGAGGGUCAUUGGAAACUGGGAAACUUGAGUGCAGAAGAGGAGAGUGGAAUUCCACGUGUAGCGGUGAAAUGCGUAGAGAUGUGGAGGAACACCAGUGGCGAAGGCGACUCUCUGGUCUGUAACUGACGCUGAGGAGCGAAAGCGUGGGGAGCGAACAGGAUUAGAUACCCUGGUAGUCCACGCCGUAAACGAUGAGUGCUAAGUGUUAGGGGGUUUCCGCCCCUUAGUGCUGCAGCUAACGCAUUAAGCACUCCGCCUGGGGAGUACGGUCGCAAGACUGAAACUCAAAGGAAUUGACGGGGGCCCGCACAAGCGGUGGAGCAUGUGGUUUAAUUCGAAGCAACGCGAAGAACCUUACCAGGUCUUGACAUCCUCUGACAACCCUAGAGAUAGGGCUUUCCCUUCGGGGACAGAGUGACAGGUGGUGCAUGGUUGUCGUCAGCUCGUGUCGUGAGAUGUUGGGUUAAGUCCCGCAACGAGCGCAACCCUUGAUCUUAGUUGCCAGCAUUCAGUUGGGCACUCUAAGGUGACUGCCGGUGACAAACCGGAGGAAGGUGGGGAUGACGUCAAAUCAUCAUGCCCCUUAUGACCUGGGC
Molecule: ribosomal RNA, 658 nt
Filed under: Bacillus subtilis
Lineage: Bacteria; Bacillati; Bacillota; Bacilli; Caryophanales; Bacillaceae
Description: bacterial SSU rRNA
Rfam family: Bacterial small subunit ribosomal RNA
Source: RNAcentral